CAGUCGCCGCGGUAAUACGGAGGGCGCGAGCGUUACCCGGAUUUACUGGGCGUAAAGGGCGUGUAGGCGGCCUGGGGCGUCCCAUGUGAAAGGCCACGGCUCAACCGUGGAGGAGCGUGGGAUACGCUCAGGCUAGAGGGUGGGAGAGGGUGGUGGAAUUCCCGGAGUAGCGGUGAAAUGCGCAGAUACCGUGAGGAACGCCGAUGGCGAAGGCAGCCACCUGGUCCACUUCUGACGCUGAGGCGCGAAAGCGUGGGGAGCAAACAGGAUUAGAUACCCCUGUAGUCCCUGUCUCUUAUAC
RNAcentral lists this ribosomal RNA (301 nucleotides) under uncultured bacterium. Its description in RNAcentral is "partial 16S ribosomal RNA". It matches the Rfam family "Bacterial small subunit ribosomal RNA", at positions 509 to 807 of the family's 1533-position model. The record is from RNAcentral.